Molecule: unclassified non-coding RNA, 153 nt
Filed under: Cladorrhinum foecundissimum
Lineage: Eukaryota; Fungi; Ascomycota; Sordariomycetes; Sordariales; Podosporaceae
Also listed under: 1 other name
Description: partial internal transcribed spacer 2
Source: RNAcentral
CAACCAUCAAGCCCCCGGCUUGUGUUGGGGACCUGCGGCUGCCCGCAGGCCCUGAAAUCCAGUGGCGGGCUCGCUGUCGCACCGAGCGUAGUAGCAUACUUCUCGCUCCGGGAGCGCGGCGGGCGCCUGCCGUAAAACCCCCUACAUACCAAA